GAUGAAGAACGUAGCGAAAUGCGAUAAGUAAUGUGAAUUGCAGAAUUCAGUGAAUCAUCGAAUCUUUGAACGCACCUUGCACCCUUUGGCAUUCCGAAGGGUAUGCUCGUUUGAGUGUCAUUGUACUCUCACACUUCCGAUCUUUGGAUUGGGAGCGGUGGACUUGGGUGUUGCUGCUUACUGUGGCUCACCUCAAAUCGAUUCGUGCACCUCUUGGUUGGACAUAGUACGGCGUGAUAAGUGUCUUCGCCGGCACCUCAGUAGAGGGUGGCUGAUCGGGAGCUCUGCUUCAAACCGUCCUCGGACAACAACUGACAACUUGACCUCAAAUAGAGUAGGACUACCCGCUGAACUUAAGCAUAUCAAUAAGCGGAGGA
RNAcentral lists this unclassified non-coding RNA (377 nucleotides) under soil metagenome. RNAcentral describes it as "partial contains 5.8S ribosomal RNA, internal transcribed spacer 2, and large subunit ribosomal RNA". The stretch from base 1 to 120 matches the Rfam family "5.8S ribosomal RNA", at positions 35 to 154 of the family's 154-position model. The record is from RNAcentral.